Long non-coding RNA from Hyla sarda, 259 nucleotides. RefSeq lists it as uncharacterized. The record is from RefSeq and is a predicted model, not a curated record. The transcript is spliced from 3 exons. NCBI's taxonomy places the organism in Eukaryota, Metazoa, Chordata, Amphibia, Anura, Hylidae.
CGGACGGGCGCACAGUGCAGAGGAUAAGGAUCCACUGACAUAGUGAGAACCUAUGAUGUCCGGGUGUCAGACUCUUCAGAGAAGAUGGAGCUGGAAGACGUCCUGACGUCUGGACCAGAUGAAGAAGAAAAGAAAAGACAACAGAGAAGACAUCACUCAGAUCCGUGUAUGCAGAGGAUUACGACGGAUUCAAUGGAUUACGACGGAUGAAUUUGAUUUUUUUAAUUUUAAUAAAAUGAUUAACGAGGACUGUGGGGAG